UUUAAAAUUUUGUUGCAUUCUUUGUUGUCGACAUGAAGUUUGUCUCAUAGAAAUGAAAUUUAUAAACAGUCUACGCAAUGAAAGUGCAGAAACAAGUGUGGUAUUUUUUGUAUGAAUAAUGUACCAAUUAUCUUAUAGACCCACAUCCUUUUUAACUCUGCGCAGACUAUGUUCAUAUGUGUUAGUGAUCGAAAUUGGGUCUCACUGAACAAUGAGGCAUAUUACCGCAACCUAGCUGUGGCACUGAUUUUUGAGUGAUCACACCUUGUGACUCACGGAAGACGUUGUCGGUGCGUGGUUUUGUCAUUUCAAUAGCGGGUAUUUGGUCAUUGCUUCGACCUGUGAUGGGAGUAUGCGCUAAGAAACUUUCAGCUUUUAUAAAAUGAUGAAGGUCUGGCUCUCACGGGCUCUUGGGUUAAUAAAUUGUUGACGCUGUUCUAACAUAUCCUUACAACUAAAGGAAAUGAUGUAAAAUUAAUUACAGAACAAAAUAUAAACAGAAACGAAGAUAAAAAUUAACGUAAAA
This is a long non-coding RNA of Melitaea cinxia (Glanville fritillary), 526 nucleotides long. RefSeq lists it as uncharacterized. The transcript has 2 exons. The record is from RefSeq and is a predicted model, not a curated record. NCBI's taxonomy places the organism in Eukaryota, Metazoa, Arthropoda, Insecta, Lepidoptera, Nymphalidae.